RNAcentral lists this ribosomal RNA (468 nucleotides) under uncultured bacterium. Its description in RNAcentral is "partial 16S ribosomal RNA". It matches the Rfam family "Bacterial small subunit ribosomal RNA", at positions 28 to 507 of the family's 1533-position model. The record is from RNAcentral.
GACGAACGCUGGCGGCGUGCUUAACACAUGCAAGUCGAACGGAAAGGCCCUGCGUUUGUGGGGUGCUCGAGUGGCGAACGGGUGAGUAACACGUGAGUAACCUGCCCUUGACUUUGGGAUAACUUCAGGAAACUGGGGCUAAUACCGGAUAGGAGCUCCUGCUGCAUGGGGGGGGUUGGAAAGUUUCGGCGGUUGGGGAUGGACUCGCAGCUUAUCAGCUUGUUGGUGGGGUAGGGGCUUACCAAGGCUUUGACGGGUAGCCGGCCUGAGAGGGUGACCGGCGACAUUGGGACUGAGAUACGGCCCAGACUGCUACGGGCGGCAGCAGUCGGGAAUAUUGCACAAUGGGCGGAAGCCUGAUGCAGCAACGCCGCGUGCGGGAUGACGGCCUUCGGGUUGUGAACCGCUUUCGCCUGUGACGAAGCGUGAGUGACGGUAAUGGGUAAAGAAGCACCGGCUAACUACGUG